Drosophila yakuba is the source of this 3520-nucleotide RNA transcript. It is a transcript of the gene named dystrobrevin beta, with no coding region annotated. The record is from RefSeq and is a predicted model, not a curated record. The transcript is spliced from 10 exons. NCBI's taxonomy places the organism in Eukaryota, Metazoa, Arthropoda, Insecta, Diptera, Drosophilidae.
ACGUUUUUGUUGUUGCUGGCUUGUGGGUGUCGAAGCAGUGUCGCGGCGCAAUGUUGGAAGUGGUUUCUGGGUAAACAAAAUUCGUUGAUAAGAUAUUCGCAAGAAGUAAAUCGCGAGUCGCGCGGCGUAAUUACCGUUGGCAAGCCAAAAAACCGUUUAGCAUCGAUUGCGGUUUAAAACCAGGCUCCGAUUCCUGUGAGCCCGCGUGUGUGUGUGUGUGCGUUUGUGCCAACGGUGUGUAUGUGUUUUGAGCCCAUAAGCGUAGCCCGAAAAAAUAAGUUUUCCUGUUACCAUAUUUUUACCAAACGCCAAAAGGGCGCAGCAUCUUCGCUCUUUAUCUCUCCGCUGUAUCGCUAUCCCGUUCGCUAACGCCAGUUUUGCAACUCCGUUUACCGUUUAUUGUGUGUAAACAGCAGGUGAAAAUAAAACGCGAUAAGUCGGGAGAAAUAUAAGAAAGAAGGAGGAGAAAGAGCAGCACGAAGAAGAAGCAACUCCGCGCAGCCCAACAAAAAGUGACGCAUUAAAGAGGUUGCUAAUUACAAAAGGCGACUUUCCACCACAUAGUAUCCAGGAAUGGAGCUGGAGCCGCGAGUGGCCAUACUGCAGGACCUGCGCCUGCAGACCUUCGACUCCAUUCGAUUCGCCUCCUACCGCACCGCCUCCAAGCUGCGUUACAUACAGAAGUCCACCAAUCUGCAUUUGGUGGACAUAUGGAAUGUGAUCGAGGCCUUCCGCGAGAAUGGGCUGAACACGCUAGAACCGCAGAGCGAGGUGAGCGUAGCCAGGCUGGAAACCCUGGUCUCCUCCCUCUACCACAACCUCAACAAGCGCCUGCCCACCGCUCAGCAGGUGCCCGUGGACUCGAAGGCGGGUCUGCUGCUCAACUGGCUGUUGGCUGCGUACACAAGUGAUAACUCGGGCAAGAUUCGCGUGUUUUCCAUCAAAGUGGCCCUGGCCACCAUGUGCUCUGGCAAACUGGUGGACAAACUAAGAUACAUAUUCUCGCAGAUCUCGGAUGGCGCUGGACAGCUGGUGGCCUGGAAGCUGGGCGAGUUCCUGCGCGAAGUGCUGGCCCUGCCGGCGGCCGUGUACGAGUCGCCCACAUUCCACUACAAGGAGGGGCUCGAGGAGGAGAUCUUCCCGGCCGAGAACAAGGUGACGGUGAACGACUUUAUGGCCACGCUGAUGUCCGAGCCGGGGCCGUCCUGCCUCGUCUGGCUGCCGCUGGUGCACCGGCUGGCCACCGUGGAGACCAUUGUGCAUCCGACUGUCUGCUCUGUUUGCCACAAGGAAAACUUCACCGGGUUUCGUUAUCGCUGUCAGCGGUGUCACGCCUACCAGUUGUGUCAGGAGUGCUUCUGGCACGGCAAGACAUCGCUGAACCACCAGAACGAUCACGAGGUCAAGGAGUACUCGAGCUACAAGUCGCCCAGCAAACAGAUCGGUCACUCGCUGCGCAAGAGCUUCCGCUGUGUGCCCGAGAAGACGGUGCAGGUGCUCCCCCGCUUCCCCGACCAGCCGGAGAAGACGCUCAACCUGUCGCACAUCGUGCCGCCCUCGCCGCUGCCCUCGCACAACGGCUUCUCGGACCCCUCGGGCCUCGUACAUGGCCACCACGGCCCCCAUCCGGGUCUUCCGGGCCAGCACGGCCUUUUCGAUCGCUCCAGCACGCUCGACUCGCGGGCCACAGGCCGCAGUCUGGACAGCGCCAGUGGCACUGCCGGCACUACCAUGUCUCGCGUGGCCGCCGCAUCUGCCAACGACGAGGAGCACCGCCUGAUUGCCCGCUAUGCCGCCAGAUUGGCCCAGGAAAACCGAGCGCCAUCCAACUUGCCCGACAAUGCCACACCAAUUGGCACAGAUAACUCCCGAGCCCAACGCGAGCUUAUUGCCCAACUGGAGUCCAAGAACAAGGAGAUAAUGCGCGAGAUAGCGCGCCUGAGGCGUCAGCAGGAGACAGAGCAAAUGGCCCCCGAGAAUCCGGCGCUAAUCAAUGAACUGCGUGCUCUAAGGCAGCGGAAAGGAGAACUAGAGGGCCACCUGGGUGCCCUGCAGGAUUCGCGACGACAGCUAAUGGAGCAACUGGAGGGACUGAUGCGAAUGCUGAAGAACCAGCAGACAGCAUCGCCUCGCUCCACGCCCAACUCGAGUCCUCGUUCCGGAAAAUCCCCACCAAUGCCCGGAGGAGCUGGUAUCCUGGGCACCUCCCCAAUGAGUGCGCUGCACGCCCAGCAGAUGCAGCAACAUCCGAUGGCAGGAGGAGUCAGGGCCAGCCAGCAGCAACUCCUUCAACAGCAACAGCAGCAGCAGGCUCAUGGCCACGGGCCAUUCAGCCAGAGUCAGCUGGAGCAGCUCAACCAGAUUAGCAGCGAUAUGCGCAGCGCCUUCGCCGCCAACGGAAGUGCAACGCCACCGCCAAUGCGCACCACCACUGCCACUGCCACUGCCAAUGUCAGUGCCAUUCCCAGCCUCAAUCCGAUUCCGACUCCGAAUCAGAAUCAGAGUAUGAAUCCGAAUCUGAAUCCCGACGCGGAGCUCAAUGAGGCUGCCGAUCAUCUAACGUCGGCCAUUUCCCACAUGGUCAGCGACCUGAACGCAGGACGGGGAAGGGCUCAUCUGGGUCCCCAGCCGGCGAGCUCCCUGCCGCAGGCUCGCUUCAUCAUGCCACUGGAAUUCCGACACAUCGAGGGUGGCGAGUCCGCGGACUCGAGUCAGUGCGAGUGCAACGAUUGCGAGUGCGGGGAGUACGAGGAGGUGUUCCGCACCGACGAGGAUCUCGAGUGCGAGGGAGCUGCAGCUCCAUUCGGGGAUCCAUACACCAGGUACCCCGUACUGGGUACUGGCGUUCAGGAGGAGGACCACUUUGAUUACACCUUCGGGCAGGGCGAGGAGCUGUCCCAGGUGAACCGUAUCCUGGGCUACCGCAACCACCCGGAGCUGUUCAUCGACGAUGACCAGGCCGGUUUCCCGGCACUGCACGAGAUCGGUGAGACAAUCGAUGAACUGCAGCUGAUCAUGCACGCUUAUAUCAUGAAGUAUAGUCUGAAUUUAUAAAGUGUUCGUCGUAGGUUAUAUACUCUGCGAUCAGAUUUCGACGAAUCUCAAUCGUAUAACCAAGAGUGGAAUGAAAAGGCAAAUGCGAAUAGCCAAUGGCAGGAACAGUUUGCACAAUGGAGUCUUAAUUCGCAAAAGAACUAAGACGUGGCUACCAGUGGACUGGCUACCGCAGGACUGGGAAUCUCCAGAGGCAGCUGGAUGGAUGAAGACGAAUUCUCGCUUAGCUUUCUACCUUACCUUAACUCAUACGUUGACUUAGAGCAAUUUAUUUAUUGAUUACUUUACUGAGCCGUAGCCUACACUACCUUAAUCAUUAUAAUUUAUACUUUGAGGAUUGGUAUCUACACGGAAACAUUGUAUGUAAACAGAUAUAUGCAUAUAUAUGAUUAUUUUAUUGAAGCAAAAGAUAUGAAUAUAGCUGAUAAAAAAGACUUGCAGUUGCACUGCUCUUCGAAGUCGCAAA